RNAcentral lists this ribosomal RNA (1348 nucleotides) under Salmonella enterica. RNAcentral's name for it is "partial 23S ribosomal RNA". It matches the Rfam family "Bacterial large subunit ribosomal RNA", at positions 1292 to 2623 of the family's 2925-position model. RNAcentral also lists the same sequence under 2 other names. Lineage: Bacteria; Pseudomonadati; Pseudomonadota; Gammaproteobacteria; Enterobacterales; Enterobacteriaceae. The record is from RNAcentral.
GAAUGCUGACAUAAGUAACGAUAAAGCGGGUGAAAAGCCCGCUCGCCGGAAGACCAAGGGUUCCUGUCCAACGUUAAUCGGGGCAGGGUGAGUCGACCCCUAAGGCGAGGCCGAAAGGCGUAGUCGAUGGGAAACGGGUUAAUAUUCCCGUACUUGGUGUUACUGCGAAGGGGGGACGGAGAAGGCUAUGUUGGCCGGGCGACGGUUGUCCCGGUUUAAGCGUGUAGGUGUGUGUUCCAGGUAAAUCCGGUUCACUUUAACACUGAGGCGUGACGACGAGGCACUACGGUGCUGAAGCAACAAAUGCCCUGCUUCCAGGAAAAGCCUCUAAGCAUCAGGUAACAUCAAAUCGUACCCCAAACCGACACAGGUGGUCAGGUAGAGAAUACCAAGGCGCUUGAGAGAACUCGGGUGAAGGAACUAGGCAAAAUGGUGCCGUAACUUCGGGAGAAGGCACGCUGACACGUAGGUGAAGUGAUUUACUCAUGGAGCUGAAGUCAGUCGAAGAUACCAGCUGGCUGCAACUGUUUAUUAAAAACACAGCACUGUGCAAACACGAAAGUGGACGUAUACGGUGUGACGCCUGCCCGGUGCCGGAAGGUUAAUUGAUGGGGUCAGCGCAAGCGAAGCUCCUGAUCGAAGCCCCGGUAAACGGCGGCCGUAACUAUAACGGUCCUAAGGUAGCGAAAUUCCUUGUCGGGUAAGUUCCGACCUGCACGAAUGGCGUAAUGAUGGCCAGGCUGUCUCCACCCGAGACUCAGUGAAAUUGAACUCGCUGUGAAGAUGCAGUGUACCCGCGGCAAGACGGAAAGACCCCGUGAACCUUUACUAUAGCUUGACACUGAACAUUGAGCCUUGAUGUGUAGGAUAGGUGGGAGGCUUUGAAGUGUGGACGCCAGUCUGCAUGGAGCCGACCUUGAAAUACCACCCUUUAAUGUUUGAUGUUCUAACGUGGACCCGUUACCCGGGUUGCGGACAGUGUCUGGUGGGUAGUUUGACUGGGGCGGUCUCCUCCUAAAGAGUAACGGAGGAGCACGAAGGUUGGCUAAUCCUGGUCGGACAUCAGGAGGUUAGUGCAAUGGCAUAAGCCAGCUUGACUGCGAGCGUGACGGCGCGAGCAGGUGCGAAAGCAGGUCAUAGUGAUCCGGUGGUUCUGAAUGGAAGGGCCAUCGCUCAACGGAUAAAAGGUACUCCGGGGAUAACAGGCUGAUACCGCCCAAGAGUUCAUAUCGACGGCGGUGUUUGGCACCUCGAUGUCGGCUCAUCACAUCCUGGGGCUGAAGUAGGUCCCAAGGGUAUGGCUGUUCGCCAUUUAAAGUGGUACGCGAGCUGGGUUUAGAACGUCGUG